GGGUGAUUAGCUCAGCUGGGAGAGCACCUCCCUACAAGGAGGGGGUCGCGGUUCGAUCCCGUCAUCACCCACCA
This 74-nucleotide transfer RNA is filed under the name Escherichia coli. RNAcentral describes it as "tRNA-???(ac)". It matches the Rfam family "tRNA". Rfam says of the family: Transfer RNA (tRNA) molecules are approximately 80 nucleotides in length. Their secondary structure includes four short double-helical elements and three loops (D, anti-codon, and T loops). The record is from RNAcentral. Lineage: Bacteria; Pseudomonadati; Pseudomonadota; Gammaproteobacteria; Enterobacterales; Enterobacteriaceae.